RNAcentral lists this long non-coding RNA (1131 nucleotides) under Solanum tuberosum (potato). Its description in RNAcentral is "long non-coding RNA (STUB_LNC000480)". The record is from RNAcentral. Lineage: Eukaryota; Viridiplantae; Streptophyta; Magnoliopsida; Solanales; Solanaceae.
AGAUAAGAAAGACAAGAUGAGUUAGAAUUAGUGUCGUUUAAAUGAAUUAUUGACUCAUAUAAACAUGUAGCAUGUUGUUUUCGUUCAAAUUUUCAUCUGCUCGAGUCGUUCACUUUUCAUGUCUUGUCAUACUAUGAUUAGAUGCAGCAUCGCUAGAUCUCAUUAUUAUUUUUUUAGUUAUGUCGCAUAAAACUUGAAGUAUGCCUCCAAUUUUAUGGCAGAGGCUGAACAGCUAUUGAUUUGUUUUCUAUGAAUAACUGUUACUACUUUUCUUUAGCUUUUUAAAAAGAAUAAAAAUAAGAUAAUGUUGGCUUGUAAAAUAGCUGCUGCUUUAGCUAAGUUUUCGGGUUCCAAUUUUGCUUAUGAAGUGAUUCGGGUAUUCAAAUACAAAUAGUAUAUUAAGAAGUUAUUGUAUCUAUCAAAACAAGUUAGCAAGUAUCCAUCUAGUAAAGACACUUUAAUCUUUUCUAGUCAUGAGUUGCUAGGCACCUUGUCUAACAUUGAUAACUUGUAUUUUUUUGUUUCAUAUUGAGAACUUAGCGACUUCUCUAUGUUCUAAAUUCCCAAAAUAGACCAUAUAAGGUGAUGAUAUUCUCAUGUUUCCUUCCUAAGUAUGCUUGCUUACUUGAUUUCAAUGGAAUACAUAUGCUUUUAAGUUAGUUGAGGACAAUUAGUUUACUAGAUUAACUUAGUGUAUCCCAAAAUUGUGCAAAAUAUAUAAAGUAAGCAAUUCUAAUAGCAUUUGAAAGGUUUACACAAACUCAUGGUUGCCAAGAUAGUGAAAGAAAAUAUUUUUUACAUGUCAAAAUGCCACUUUAACAAGUCUCUGAUAUCUUGUUUAAUGUGGGUUUAUAUUUGUUUGCAUACUUACAUUACUGCACCGUUUAAUUAGUUACUAAUCUUUAUCUCCUUAUAUUUCUUAUGUUUCAUGUACAACCGGAGGGCUGGAGUUUCUACUUUGGAACUCGUUAUUGGCCUAAGAUAGUAGGCCAACAACAAUUAGGAUCAUCACAACGCUUGGAGUCUCGCAAAUUAGGAGUCCAAUAUUUCUUAGUCUUUCUCUUUUCGAGUCUUAAUUAUAUUGUUUUGAUAUGUUGGCUAACCUUUACUCUUAAGUUUUGAUAUAUUGCU